Long non-coding RNA from Oncorhynchus tshawytscha (Chinook salmon), 360 nucleotides. The record is from Ensembl. Lineage: Eukaryota; Metazoa; Chordata; Actinopteri; Salmoniformes; Salmonidae.
CACACACACACACACACAGGGUGGGACUACACACACACACACACACACAGGGUGGGACUACACACACACACACAGGGUGGGACUACACACACACACACAUGGGGUGGGACUACACACACACAGACACACACACAGGGUGGGACUACACACACACACACAGGAACACAGGGUGGGACUACACACACACACACAGGGUGGGACUACACACACACACACAGGGUGGGACUACACACACACACACACAGAACACAGGGUGGGAAUACACACACACACACAGGGUGGGACUACACACACACACACACACACAGAACACUGGGUGGGAAUACACACACAGAACACAGGGUGGGACUACACACACAC